Long non-coding RNA from Lontra canadensis (Northern American river otter), 399 nucleotides. RefSeq lists it as uncharacterized. The transcript has 4 exons. The record is from RefSeq and is a predicted model, not a curated record. NCBI's taxonomy places the organism in Eukaryota, Metazoa, Chordata, Mammalia, Carnivora, Mustelidae.
GGAGUAGCUGGUGUGAAGAGCGGUGGGAAGGCGGGUCCGACACUCCUGGCGGGGAGAUGGACGCGGUGCUCGUGGGUGCUGGAUAUUCUCGAAGCCCAGGAGGAAGCCGCUGAGCAGGAACCACGUUCCUCCCUGAGAAACGCCACGUCAUGUUGCCUUCUCACGUGUGCUUACGGGUGGCACCUUGGUGUUGGAACACAGAAACCUCUCUCCCUCAUGUGCCAAGAUUUGAGGUGAUGGUCCCCAGGCCAGCGUGUCUCCCCUGCAAAGUAUCACCACCCAGGACAACUCCACAAAGGUUCGAGAGCAGCUUGCCGUCCUCAUCUGCUGGUGGAGGCCGCUUCUGGGCAUGAAGAAGACGGUUCAGUUUCCCUGAUGCGCCCUUGGGGUGAGGUCACC